AUACGUAGGGAGCGAGCGUUGUCCGGAAUUACUGGGUGUAAAGGGAGCGUAGGCGGGAGUGCAAGUCAGAUGUGAAAAACAUGGGCUCAACCCAUGGGCUGCAUUUGAAACUGCAUUUCUUGAGUGAAGUAGAGGUAAGCGGAAUUCAUGGUGUAGCGGUGAAAUGCGUAGAUAUCAGGAGGAACACCGGUGGCGAAGGCGGCUUACUGGGCUUUUACUGACGCUGAGGCUCGAAAGCGUGGGGAGCAAACAGGAUUAGAUACCCUGGUAGUCCACGCUGUAAACGAUGAUUACUAGGUGUGGGGGGACUGACCCCUUCCGUGCCGCAGUUAACACAAUAAGUAAUCCACCUGGGGAGUACGGCCGCAAGGUUGAAACUCAAAUGAAUUGACGGGG
RNAcentral lists this ribosomal RNA (396 nucleotides) under uncultured bacterium. RNAcentral's name for it is "partial 16S ribosomal RNA". It matches the Rfam family "Bacterial small subunit ribosomal RNA", at positions 523 to 918 of the family's 1533-position model. The record is from RNAcentral.